GGCGGAUGUAGCCAAGUGGAUCAAGGCAGUGGGUUGUGAAUCCACCAUGCGCGGGUUCAAUUCCCGUCGUUCGCC
Molecule: transfer RNA, 75 nt
Filed under: Chamaebatiaria millefolium
Lineage: Eukaryota; Viridiplantae; Streptophyta; Magnoliopsida; Rosales; Rosaceae
Also listed under: 36 other names
Description: tRNA-His
Rfam family: tRNA
About the family: Transfer RNA (tRNA) molecules are approximately 80 nucleotides in length. Their secondary structure includes four short double-helical elements and three loops (D, anti-codon, and T loops). Further hydrogen bonds mediate the characteristic L-shaped molecular structure. tRNAs have two regions of fundamental functional importance: the anti-codon, which is responsible for specific mRNA codon recognition, and the 3' end, to which the tRNAs corresponding amino acid is attached (by aminoacyl-tRNA synthetases). tRNAs cope with the degeneracy of the genetic code in two manners: having more than one tRNA (with a specific anti-codon) for a particular amino acid; and 'wobble' base-pairing, i.e. permitting non-standard base-pairing at the 3rd anti-codon position.
Source: RNAcentral